Molecule: ribosomal RNA, 253 nt
Filed under: uncultured bacterium
Lineage: Bacteria
Description: partial 16S ribosomal RNA
Rfam family: Bacterial small subunit ribosomal RNA
Source: RNAcentral
UGCAGAGGGUGCAAGCGUUGUUCGGAAUUAUUGGGCGUAAAGCGCGCGCAGGCGGUUUCUUAAGUCUGAUGUGAAAGCCCACGGCUUAACCGUGGAAGGUCAUUGGAAACUGGGAGACUUGAGUGCAGAAGAGAAGAGCGGAAUUCCACGUGUAGCGGUGAAAUGCGUAGAGAUGUGGAGGAACACCAGUGGCGAAGGCGGCUCUUUGGUCUGUAACUGACGCUGAGGCGCGAAAGCGUGGGGAUCAAACAGG